This 201-nucleotide ribosomal RNA is filed under the name uncultured prokaryote. Its description in RNAcentral is "partial 16S ribosomal RNA". It matches the Rfam family "Bacterial small subunit ribosomal RNA", at positions 524 to 724 of the family's 1533-position model. The record is from RNAcentral.
UACGAGUGCCUCAAGCGUUAUCCGGAAUCAUUGGGCGUAAAGGUUGUGUAGGUGGUUUUAUUAGUCUCUUGUUAAAUUCUUCGGCUUAACCGGGGGCAUGCAAGGGAAACGGUAAAACUAGAGGAUGCGAGGGGUCUGUGGAAUUCAUAGUGUAGCGGUAAAAUGCGUUGAUAUUAUGGAGAACACCAAAAGCGAAGGCAG